RNAcentral lists this ribosomal RNA (490 nucleotides) under uncultured bacterium. Its description in RNAcentral is "partial 16S ribosomal RNA". It matches the Rfam family "Bacterial small subunit ribosomal RNA", at positions 30 to 507 of the family's 1533-position model. The record is from RNAcentral.
AUUGAACGCUGGCGGCAUGCUUUACACAUGCAAGUCGAACGGCAGCGGGGUAGUGCUUGCACUACUGCCGGCGAGUGGCGAACGGGUGAGUAAUAUAUCGGAACGUACCGAGUAAUGGGGGAUAACCAAUCGAAAGAUUGGCUAAUACCGCAUACGUCCUGAGGGAGAAAGCGGGGGAUCGCAAGACCUCGCGUUAUUCGAGCGGCCGAUAACUGAUUAGCUAGUUGGUGGGGUAAAGGCCUACCAAGGCGACGAUCAGUAGCGGGUCUGAGAGGACGAUCCGCCACACUGGGACUGAGACACGGCCCAGACCCCUACGGGAGGCAGCAGUGGGGAAUUUUGGACAAUGGGGGCAACCCUGAUCCAGCCAUGCCGCGUGUAUGAAGAAGGCCUUCGGGUUGUAAAGUACUUUUGUUAGGGAAGAAAAGGGAAGUGCUAAUACCACUUUUUGCUGACGGUACCUAAAGAAUAAGCACCGGCUAACUACGUG